AAUCCAUGGUUCGGACAUUUCUUGAGUAAAGCCUUAUAUCUUUCCCAAGCUUCAUAGAAGUGUUCAUCUAGGCCUUGAGAAAAUGUUGCAAUAGAAGCUUUGACACU
Non-coding RNA from Vigna angularis (adzuki bean), 107 nucleotides. Lineage: Eukaryota; Viridiplantae; Streptophyta; Magnoliopsida; Fabales; Fabaceae. The record is from Rfam.